CAUCUCCACAGCUGCCCUCGCCGCAGUCCUCCCUACUGUUGGAGAAGAUGCCCCCAAUAACUGGGGUGUCUCGAGCUAGUGGACACAUCAUGGAGCUGGGUGAGAGUGGACUGUGUCAUUAAGAUCCUCCCAUGGCCUCAUCCUGUGCUGGCCAUCGCUAUGCGUCCAGUAAGGAGGUAGAACACUGGAUGAGCCACAGAAAGCACACAGGACUUUGCUGUGGAAGAGUCAAAGAUCCACGUGGGAGCAUCCCGUAGGGGACUUGCGUUUCAGAUCAGAUGAUGCUUUUCAUGUAUGUCCAGCAGCAAGAGAGUCCUUCACUGGUGAAAAAUCACGGGCCUCAGAGCAGAUUUUAGUUCAUCUUUCAUUUCAAAGCACUCCUUAGAUAUCUGCAAAUUAAAUCCCCUAAUUUGGUGAGGACGCCCAGCUUCCCAAAUAACAAGGCUUUUCCUUUGAUUCUAACCAAGUGAGCCGGCCCUGCAAAAGCCGGGGUGCGUGUUCUGGCUCCAGGCUUCUGAGCAGCCUUUCUCCCCACGCUGCAGCUUUUCAGUUAGGAAGUCAGAGAGAAGGAAAGAGAACUAUUUCCAAUUCAAUCACGAGCAUGUCUACGCACCACUGAAGACAGACCUUUGUCCUGUUGCUUUCCAAACUUUAAAUGUGAAUUUUUCUUCUUAUGAUGACUGGUGUACUC
RNAcentral lists this long non-coding RNA (691 nucleotides) under Homo sapiens (human). Its description in RNAcentral is "HSALNT0253406". The record is from RNAcentral. Lineage: Eukaryota; Metazoa; Chordata; Mammalia; Primates; Hominidae.